RNAcentral lists this ribosomal RNA (180 nucleotides) under Trichophyton rubrum. RNAcentral's name for it is "5.8S ribosomal RNA". Lineage: Eukaryota; Fungi; Ascomycota; Eurotiomycetes; Onygenales; Arthrodermataceae. The record is from RNAcentral.
CAACCCCUCAAGCCCGGCUUGUGUGAUGGACGACCGUCCGGCCCCUCCCUUCGGGGGCGGGACGCGCCCGAAAAGCAGUGGCCAGGCCGCGAUUCCGGCUUCCUAGGCGAAUGGGCAGCCAAUUCAGCGCCCUCAGGACCGGCCGCCCUGGCCCCAAUCUUUAUAUAUAUAUAUAUNANG